Molecule: long non-coding RNA, 596 nt
Organism: Trifolium pratense (red clover)
Lineage: Eukaryota; Viridiplantae; Streptophyta; Magnoliopsida; Fabales; Fabaceae
Exons: 4
Source: RefSeq, a predicted model, not a curated record
AUAAAUUACAUAAUUGUUAUUUUGCAGAAUUUAAUUAAUAUUGUUAUUGUUCAGAAUUUAAUUAAUCAAUUCUAAAGUAGAAUUGUCACAUUGGUUGCUUCUUACUCUAUAACAAAUUCUGUGUCAGGUUCCAAAUGCUUCUCCUCCUGCAUUACUGAAUCAGCAGCUUGUGUCUUCACUGAAUCUGUCUUCACCGAAUCAUUAUUAUUCAACCUGAAACCAUUAAAAAUCAUUUUGGUUUUCAGACAUCACAUACCAAAACCAUUCUAGAUCCUACAAUUUAUGUACUCUUUUUAUAAAUUGUCGAUUUCAGCAAAGAGAGUGGGAUAGUAUUCUUUCCAGGAAGAGAUCAUAAUGGAGAUUAUGUUCCCUUAUAUCCUAGAACAGGUCUUGCUAAGGGCGCAGCGGUUGGUAUAUCUAUAGCAGGAAUGUUCGGGUUUGUAUUAUUUGUUAUCUGUAUAUAUGUUAGAUACACUAAGAAGAAGGAAGAAGAGAAAGAUAAACUUCCUCAAACUUCUAUGAAGCUUUCAACUCAAGAUGGUAAUGGUAUAUUUUUUCGUAUUCAGAUUCUUUCCAAGUUCUUAUCAACUACUUAU